Molecule: long non-coding RNA, 516 nt
Filed under: Brassica napus (rape)
Lineage: Eukaryota; Viridiplantae; Streptophyta; Magnoliopsida; Brassicales; Brassicaceae
Description: long non-coding RNA (BNAP_LNC006144)
Source: RNAcentral
GUGAGUUCUAGACUUGUGCGUUGAUAGAAUUUUUGAAUAAAUGUUUGGCUCAUAAUUAUUUGACACCUGAUUCUUGCACCCUAGGCUAGCUUCUUCAUAAUCUGAAAACCUCAAAUCAAACAUGUUACUUGAUAGUUAUGAUUUCUUUUAGUUCUAAAUCGGCGAUUUUUUAGCUUGACAUUGAACCCAUAAAAACGAAGCGUAAACUGAUCCUCUAGAAAAGACUCAAUUUUAUAAUUACCACUGUCAAUCAAUUUUAGUGCAUUAAUCAAUCAUCAAGCCAUCCCUUUGGUCUAUGGGACAGAAAUUUAAGAGCAAUCAUCAGGGCACCUUCAACAGAGCAAGUCCAUUGGCAAGUUCUAGAUGAGUAUUUAGAAAAUUAAAAAAAUUAAAAAAAUGAAGAAAAACAUGAGAGAGACAAUUAAAAGAGUUCUCAAAUAAGGAACUUGUAGAACCUCAUGAGAUACUUUUAUUGGCAUGUGUCAGUUUGUAUCUGGUUUGGUUAUUUUUUUUAAU